GUGGGGAAUAUUGGACAAUGGGCGAAAGCCUGAUCCAGCAACGCCGCGUGAGGGAUGACGGCCUUCGGGUUGUAAACCUCUUUCAGCAGGGACGAAGCGAAAGUGACGGUACCUGCAGAAGAAGGACCGGCCAACUACGUGCCAGCAGCCGCGGUAAUACGUAGGGUCCGAGCGUUGUCCGGAAUUAUUGGGCGUAAAGGGCUCGUAGGCGGUCUGUCGCGUCGGGAGUGAAAACUCAGGGCUCAACCCUGAGCGUGCUUCCGAUACGGGCAGACUAGAGGUAUGCAGGGGAGAACGGAAUUCCUGGUGUAGCGGUGGAAUGCGCAGAUAUCAGGAGGAACACCGGUGGCGAAGGCGGUUCUCUGGGCAUUACCUGACGCUGAGGAGCGAAAGCAUGGGGAGCGAACAGGAUUAGAAACCCUAGUAGUCC
This 430-nucleotide ribosomal RNA is filed under the name uncultured bacterium. RNAcentral describes it as "partial 16S ribosomal RNA". It matches the Rfam family "Bacterial small subunit ribosomal RNA", at positions 354 to 796 of the family's 1533-position model. The record is from RNAcentral.